This 253-nucleotide ribosomal RNA is filed under the name uncultured bacterium. Its description in RNAcentral is "partial 16S ribosomal RNA". It matches the Rfam family "Bacterial small subunit ribosomal RNA", at positions 524 to 776 of the family's 1533-position model. The record is from RNAcentral.
UACGUAGGUGGCGAGCGUUGUCCGGAUUUACUGGGUGUGAAGGGCGAGUAGGCGGGCUAACAAGUCAGAUGUGAAAUACCGAGGCUCAACCUCGGGGCUGCAUUUGAAACUGUUAGUCUUGAGUGAUGGAGAGGCAGGCGGAAUUCCCAGUGUAGCGGUAAAAUGCAUAGAGAUUGGGAGGAACACCAGUGGCGAAGGCGGCCUGCUGGACAUUAACUGACGCUGAGGAGCGAAAGUGUGGGGAGCAAACAGG